GGUCUUGUGGUCUAGUGGUAUGAUUCUCGCUUAGGGACAACCCUACAGCAUUCUGUUGCGAGAGGUCCCGGGUUCAAUCCCCGGCAAGACCC
Molecule: non-coding RNA, 92 nt
Organism: Canariomyces notabilis
Lineage: Eukaryota; Fungi; Ascomycota; Sordariomycetes; Sordariales; Chaetomiaceae
Source: the annotation of a RefSeq genome assembly